RNAcentral lists this ribosomal RNA (255 nucleotides) under uncultured soil bacterium. RNAcentral describes it as "partial 16S ribosomal RNA". It matches the Rfam family "Bacterial small subunit ribosomal RNA", at positions 26 to 285 of the family's 1533-position model. The record is from RNAcentral.
AGGACGAACGCUGGCGGCGUGCUUAACACAUGCAAGUCGAGCGGUAAAGCCUUUCGGGGUACACGAGCGGCGAACGGGUGAGUAACACGUGGGUGAUCUGCCCUGCACUUCGGGAUAAGCCUGGGAAACUGGGUCUAAUACCGGAUAUGACCUCCUAUCGCAUGGUGGGUGGUGGAAAGAUUUAUCGGUGCAGGAUGGGCCCGCGGCCUAUCAGCUUGUUGGUGGGGUAAUGGCCUACCAAGGCGACGACGGGUA